UCCAGAUUCAAAUUUCCAUGGUUGGUGCCUAACAAAGCUAGCUAGUUAGAGUUUGUGGAGUGAGAUUCACAAAACCAGUUGUGCUUAUGUGUGCCAUUGGAAAAAAGCUUACAAGAACAUGUGUUUCAGCUCAAUCAUAAUGAAACUUGCAGAGGGGCUAAUCUGCAAUCAGACCUCUUCUUGUAUUACCUUAAGGAUGAUGAAAGAAAAAAGAAAACUACUGGAAUCAACGUCAACGAAUAUUAUUAAACGAACGAUGAUUACUUGCUACAAUGAUGUAAGAACAAAAUUCCAGAUCUACACUACUGCUGCUAGUAUGUUUAGUUUAUCUUGGCCGAAGGAUAAAGCACGAAACUGUUCUUAUCACUCGCGUAACAUUCCAAUGGAGGAUGUUGACGGUAUAUGACGGAGUCGGUCGGAGACUUCAAGUGCGGCGGACCUCCAUUAAAUGCAAACUCCGGAGAAGGCAAUGAAUUGGGAACAGGUCUCCAAGUGCGUCGACAUUAUCUUCUCCAAGUCACUAAGACCUGCUGAAAAUGUUAAACUUGAAACGCAGCCAUGACGAAAAUGUAACUAUACAAAAUUAAGGUAUCGAUUCUGCAAGAGUGGGAACACAAAAUUUCACACCCAAUUUGUCGUAUCCUAUCAAAAUCCAAAUCCACAAUGGAAACCGGAUGCGAAUUCUUAUCCUCACUCUGUUUCCGCUCUCGUCCUCUUCCAUCUACUCUCCCGCCGCCAACCAAAUUCGCCUCUGCUCCGAGCUCUCUGUUUCAUUUCUUCAUCCUUCCAUGGAUUCCCUCUUCAUCAACCACUCCAUUUCCCGCCUCAAGCUCUCUUCAAACCUCCCUCUCCUUCCUAAUCCCCUUUCCCAAUAUCAAUCCUCUCUCUUCCUCCCCCACCACAAACCUCGCUACAACUUCACUCUCUCCGCAAUCCAAGACCAAGAAACCACCCGGAACCCGACCCAAUCCGCCGCCGAUGACUACGGCGAAGUCGAGAAAAUCAUCGGGAGCAGAGCUCUGGAAGGCGGCGCCGGAAUGGAGUACCUAAUCCAAUGGAAAGACGGCCACGACCCUUCCUGGGUCCCAUCCGAUUACAUCGCCAAAGACGUCCUCGCCGAAUUCGAGUCCCCUUGGUGGACCGCAGCCAAGAAAUCCGACGAAUCCGCUCUCCGAUCCAUCCUCGAAUCGGAAGAAGCGGACCGCGACGUGGACGCGGUCGACCCCGCCGGCAGGGCGGGACUCCACUUCGUCUCG
This 1256-nucleotide long non-coding RNA is filed under the name Linum usitatissimum (flax). Its description in RNAcentral is "long non-coding RNA (LUSI_LNC005000)". The record is from RNAcentral. Lineage: Eukaryota; Viridiplantae; Streptophyta; Magnoliopsida; Malpighiales; Linaceae.